CGAGGUCGUCGGUUACUUCCCUUAACAACCUCGAGGCAGCGCCAUGAUUGUCGCGCGGCAAGAUGCGUCGUCCACCUUUUCUUCCCUCUGUUCUCGUUUUCGUAAGAACCUGACGUAGCGAUACAGCCUCCGCUGGUUUUCUAAAGACGGCUUUUCAUUUAACCGCUUCGUAUCGCGAGGCGCGUCCCUUUCGCGGCUUGACUCGAGAGCCUGACAGAACGCUCGCCAACCAAAAGAACAGGCCUCCAUCGCAUAUUAUGUCGGCCUAACGCGCGUGACCUCCGCAUAAUGGAGGCCGAAUGUCCUCCCUUUCUCGAGCUGUACGUUCGGACAACUCUUGUAACGAGCUGCCUCUCGCAUCCCCGUCGGACUCUCGUUCUCGCGUAAUGGAAACACGGUGCCUGCUGGAUUUUAAUUACGAGAAAGAAGCAACUACUGGCGGUGAACCGCAUCUUCCUAGGCUCAACUUCGAGAUCAUUGUGACUUCCCGCGCCGGAAGCAUCAUCCAGAG
RNAcentral lists this unclassified non-coding RNA (511 nucleotides) under Bombus terrestris (buff-tailed bumblebee). RNAcentral describes it as "misc RNA ENSBTSG00005036930.1". Lineage: Eukaryota; Metazoa; Arthropoda; Insecta; Hymenoptera; Apidae. The record is from RNAcentral.